GAUGAACGCUGGCGGCGUGCCUAAUACAUGCAAGUCGAGCGAACAGAUGAGGAGCUUGCUCCUCUGACGUUAGCGGCGGACGGGUGAGUAACACGUGGAUAACCUACCUAUAAUACUGGGAUAACUUCGGGAAACCGGAGCUAAUACCGGAUAAUAUAUUGAACCGCAUGGUUCAAUAGUGAAAGACGGUUUUGCUGUCACUUAUAGAUGGAUCCGCGCCGCAUUAGCUAGUUGGUAAGGUAACGGCUUACCAAGGCAACGAUGCGUAGCCGACCUGAGAGGGUGAUCGCCCACACUGGAACUGAGACACGGACCAGACUACUGCGGGAGGCAGCAGUAGGGAAUCUUCCGCAAUAGGCGAAAGCAUGACGGAGCAACGCCGCGUGAGUGAUGAAGGUCUUGGGAUCGUAAAACUCUGUUAUUAGGGAAGAACAAAUGUGUAAGUAACUAUGCACGUCUUGACGGUACCUAAUCAGAAAGCCACGGCUAACUACGUG
RNAcentral lists this ribosomal RNA (497 nucleotides) under uncultured bacterium. Its description in RNAcentral is "partial 16S ribosomal RNA". It matches the Rfam family "Bacterial small subunit ribosomal RNA", at positions 28 to 507 of the family's 1533-position model. The record is from RNAcentral.